GAUGAACGCUGGCGGCGUGCCUAAUACAUGCAAGUCGAGCGAACGGACGAGAAGCUUGCUUCUCUGAUGUUAGCGGCGGACGGGUGAGUAACACGUGGAUAACCUACCUAUAAGACUGGGAUAACUUCGGGAAACCGGAGCUAAUACCGGAUAAUAUUUUGAACCGCAUGGUUCAAAAGUGAAAGACGGUCUUGCUGUCACUUAUAGAUGGAUCCGCGCUGCAUUAGCUAGUUGGUAAGGUAACGGCUUACCAAGGCAACGAUGCAUAGCCGACCUGAGAGGGUGAUCGGCCACACUGGAACUGAGACACGGUCCAGACUCCUACGGGAGGCAGCAGUAGGGAAUCUUCCGCAAUGGGCGAAAGCCUGACGGAGCAACGCCGCGUGAGUGAUGAAGGUCUUCGGAUCGUAAAACUCUGUUAUUAGGGAAGAACAUAUGUGUAAGUAACUGUGCACAUCUUGACGGUACCUAAUCAGAAAGCCACGGCUAACUACGUGCCAGCAGCCGCGGUAAUACGUAGGUGGCAAGCGUUAUCCGGAAUUAUUGGGCGUAAAGCGCGCGUAGGCGGUUUUUUAAGUCUGAUGUGAAAGCCCACGGCUCAACCGUGGAGGGUCAUUGGAAACUGGAAAACUUGAGUGCAGAAGAGGAAAGUGGAAUUCCAUGUGUAGCGGUGAAAUGCGCAGAGAUAUGGAGGAACACCAGUGGCGAAGGCGACUUUCUGGUCUGUAACUGACGCUGAUGUGCGAAAGCGUGGGGAUCAAACAGGAUUAGAUACCCUGGUAGUCCACGCCGUAAACGAUGAGUGCUAAGUGUUAGGGGGUUUCCGCCCCUUAGUGCUGCAGCUAACGCAUUAAGCACUCCGCCUGGGGAGUACGACCGCAAGGUUGAAACUCAAAGGAAUUGACGGGGACCCGCACAAGCGGUGGAGCAUGUGGUUUAAUUCGAAGCCACGCGAAGAACCUUACCAAAUCUUGACAUCCUUUGACAACUCUAGAGAUAGAGCCUUCCCCUUCGGGGGACAAAGUGACAGGUGGUGCAUGGUUGUCGUCAGCUCGUGUCGUGAGAUGUUGGGUUAAGUCCCGCAACGAGCGCAACCCUUAAGCUUAGUUGCCAUCAUUAAGUUGGGCACUCUAAGUUGACUGCCGGUGACAAACCGGAGGAAGGUGGGGAUGACGUCAAAUCAUCAUGCCCCUUAUGAUUUGGGCUACACACGUGCUACAAUGGACAAUACAAAGGGCAGCGAAACCGCGAGGUCAAGCAAAUCCCAUAAAGUUGUUCUCAGUUCGGAUUGUAGUCUGCAACUCGACUACAUGAAGCUGGAAUCGCUAGUAAUCGUAGAUCAGCAUGCUACGGUGAAUACGAACCCGGGUC
RNAcentral lists this ribosomal RNA (1371 nucleotides) under uncultured bacterium. RNAcentral's name for it is "bacterial SSU rRNA". It matches the Rfam family "Bacterial small subunit ribosomal RNA", at positions 28 to 1380 of the family's 1533-position model. The record is from RNAcentral.